Molecule: ribosomal RNA, 204 nt
Filed under: uncultured bacterium
Lineage: Bacteria
Description: partial 16S ribosomal RNA
Rfam family: Bacterial small subunit ribosomal RNA
Source: RNAcentral
CACGUAGGCGGUGAAUCGGGUUGAAAGUGAAAGUCGCCAAAAAGUGGCGGAAUGCUCUCGAAACCAAUUCACUUGGGUGAGACAGAGGAGAGUGGAAUUUCGUGUGUAGGGGUGAAAUCCGUAGAUCUACGAAGGAACGCCAAAAGCGAAGGCAGCUCUCUGGGUCCCUACCGACGCUGGGUGCGAAAGCAUGGGGAGCGAACA